This 160-nucleotide ribosomal RNA is filed under the name uncultured bacterium. RNAcentral describes it as "partial 16S rRNA". It matches the Rfam family "Bacterial small subunit ribosomal RNA", at positions 358 to 510 of the family's 1533-position model. The record is from RNAcentral.
GGAAUCUUCCACAAUGGGCGAAAGCCUGAUGGAGCAACGCCGCGUGUGUGGUGAAGGGUUUCGGCUCGUAAAACACUGUUGUAAGAGAAGAAUGACAUUGAGAGUAACUGUUCAAUGUGUGACGGUAUCUUACCAGAAAGGAACGGCUAAAUACGUGCAG